AGCAGCCGCGGUAAUACGUAGGUGGCAAGCGUUAUCCGGAGUUUAUUGGGCGUAAAGAGAGUGCAGGCCGGGUUUUCUAAGUCUGAUGUGAAAGACCUUCGGCGUUAAACCGGAGAAGUGCAUCGGAAACUGGAUAACUUGAGUGCAGAAGAGGGUAGUGGAACUCCAUGUGUAGCGGUGGAAUGCGUAGAUAUAUGGAAGAGCACCAGUGGCGAAGGCGGCUACCUGGUCUGCAACUGACGCUGAGACUCGAAAGCACGGGUAGCGAACAGGAUUAGAUACCCUGGUAG
Molecule: ribosomal RNA, 290 nt
Filed under: uncultured bacterium
Lineage: Bacteria
Description: partial 16S ribosomal RNA
Rfam family: Bacterial small subunit ribosomal RNA
Source: RNAcentral